AUUUCUCUCCGAAUUCCCAACACCCGGCACUGCAGUAAAUAUUUAACAGGUUACUUUAAGGGAUAAACCGUUUGCUAUUAAAACCUAUGAGGUGGGGGCUGGGGAAGGGAACGGCAUUUGAUGGGGAGACGAGAAUUGUUGGCACCUGGAUGGUAAAUCUUCAAGUUACUGUGAAACAAGAUCACAAACCAAAAAGUAACAUAGGAAAUACUAAAGACUGGAACAUUUUAUCAGAUUUUACUCAGUUUCAUAUACAGAAGGCUAUAGGACUGUUUUGCCGGAUUCUAAAUGACAACUUUUAAAUCAGAGCCUUGAAAUCUACAGAAGUCCAAUAUAUACUGAGGAACAAAGGGAAUGUGGAAAUGAAAGAGAGAGGGAGAGAGAGGCUGGCAGAUGUAAUGAGACGCGGUGAAGGUGUACGCAGACUGGCACUCCCACUCCUCCCUUCUGCUCUCACUGCAGCCCUGGGUAACUCGCAGGCUAACACAAACAGCUUUUCUCCCGCAGCCUGCCCUCUGUCACUGUCACUUUCAUGAAUUCAAAGGCAAUUUACCAGUGAUUUCUGGGUGCUGGG
RNAcentral lists this small RNA (574 nucleotides) under Pongo abelii (Sumatran orangutan). Its description in RNAcentral is "processed transcript". The record is from RNAcentral. Lineage: Eukaryota; Metazoa; Chordata; Mammalia; Primates; Hominidae.